CCUACGGGAGGCAGCAGUAAGGAAUAUUGGUCAAUGGGCGGAAGCCUGAACCAGCCAUGCCGCGUGCAGGAAGACGGCCCUAUGGGUUGUAAACUGCUUUUGUACCGGAAUAAACCCCCGAACGUGUUCGGGGCUGAAUGUACGGUAAGAAUAAGGAUCGGCUAACUCCGUGCCAGCAGCCGCGGUAAUACGGAGGAUCCGAGCGUUAUCCGGAUUUAUUGGGUUUAAAGGGUGCGUAGGCGGCCUGUUAAGUCAGGGGUGAAAGACGGUAGCUCAACUAUCGCAGUGCCUUUGAUACUGACGGGCUUGAAUGUACUUGAGGUAGGCGGAAUGUGACAAGUAGCGGUGAAAUGCAUAGAUAUGUCACAGAACACCAAUUGCGAAGGCAGCUUACUAAGGUAUGAUUGACGCUGAGGCACGAAAGCGUGGGGAUCAAACAGGAUUAGAUACCCUGGUAGUCCACGCCCUAAACGAUGAAUACUCGAUGUUGGCGAUAUACGGCCAGCGUCUAAGCGAAAGCGUUAAGUAUUCCACCUGGGGAGUACGCCCGCAAGGGUGAAACGUCAAAUUGAAAUUGACGG
RNAcentral lists this ribosomal RNA (581 nucleotides) under uncultured bacterium. Its description in RNAcentral is "bacterial SSU rRNA". It matches the Rfam family "Bacterial small subunit ribosomal RNA", at positions 338 to 916 of the family's 1533-position model. The record is from RNAcentral.